RNAcentral lists this ribosomal RNA (555 nucleotides) under uncultured archaeon. RNAcentral's name for it is "bacterial SSU rRNA". It matches the Rfam family "Archaeal small subunit ribosomal RNA", at positions 324 to 879 of the family's 1478-position model. The record is from RNAcentral.
UUCGGGGUGCAGCAGGCGCGAAAACUUUACAAUGCCGGCAACGGCGAUAAGGGAACCUCGAGUGCCAGGUUACAAAUCUGGCUGUCGUGAUGCCUAAAACGCAUUGCAUAGCAAGGGCCGGGCAAGACCGGUGCCAGCCGCCGCGGUAACACCGGCGGCUCGAGUGGUAACCGUUAUUAUUGGGUCUAAAGGGUCUGUAGCCGGCCGGGUAAGUCUCUUGGGAAAUCUGGCAGCUUAACUGUCAGGCUUUCAGGAGAUACUGCCUGGCUCGAGGCCGGGAGAGGUGAGAGGUACUUCAGGGGUAGGGGUGAAAUCUUGUAAUCCUUGAAGGACCACCAGUGGCGAAGGCGUCUCACCAGAACGGACCUGACGGCAAGGGACGAAAGCUAGGGGCACGAACCGGAUUAGAUACCCGGGUAGUCCUAGCCGUAAACGAUACUCGCUAGGUGUCGGCCACGGUGCGACCGUGGUCGGUGCCGUAGGGAAGCCGUGAAGCGAGCCACCUGGGAAGUACGGCCGCAAGGCUGAAACUUAAAGGAAUUGGCGGGGGAGCAC